Molecule: ribosomal RNA, 467 nt
Filed under: uncultured bacterium
Lineage: Bacteria
Description: partial 16S ribosomal RNA
Rfam family: Bacterial small subunit ribosomal RNA
Source: RNAcentral
GACGAACGCUGGCGGCGUGCUUAACACAUGCAAGUCGAACGGAAAGGCCCUGCUUUUGUGGGGUGCUCGAGUGGCGAACGGGUGAGUAACACGUGAGUAACCUGCCCUUGACUUUGGGAUAACUUCAGGAAACUGGGGCUAAUACCGGAUAGGAGCUCCUGCUGCAUGUGGGGGUUGGAAAGUUUCGGCGGUUGGGGAUGGACUCGCGGCUUAUCAGCUUGUUGGUGGGGUAGUGGCUUACCAAGGCUUUGACGGGUAGCCGGCCUGAGAGGGUGACCGGCCACAUUGGGGCUGAGAUACGGCCCAGACUCCUACGGGAGGCAGCAGUGGGGAAUAUUGCACAAUGGGCGGAAGCCUGAUGCAGCAACGCCGCGUGCGGGAUGACGGCCUUCGGGUUGUAAACCGCUUUCGCCUGUGACGAAGCGUGAGUGACGGUAAUGGGUAAAGAAGCACCGGCUAACUACGUG